AUAAUUUUUUUGGUUUCGGCUCAGAGAUCCUUAAAUUAUAUAUGUACAUAUAUAUAUAUAUAUACAUGUUUUCUCACUCUCAUUUCGUAACAAGUCUUGCAGAGAGGGAGCACUUGGCGCUGUCGUCUCUUGAGACGACUCAGAUUGUUCCAAAACUUGGCUAUCUGAAACGGCUUCCACCGCAGGAGUUUCGAUUCCAUUUGGUGUGGUUUCUUCAGAGAAAUGCACAGAGCCACAUCAUCGUCUUCUCCGUCAAUGGAAGUGUAGAUUCAGAUUUGAGAUUGAGAUUUCACACCGACUUCACACCUCUCCAUUGAUCGGAAAUUUUCUAUUCCUCUUCACUGUUUGUUUUGUUUCGUCUUAAUCUCUUCUGUGUCUCUCCCAUGGCGGCGUCUCCUCUCUGCACGUGGCUAGUGGCCGCUUGCAUGUCGGUGACCGCCGACAAUGAGUUUGCGCCGAAACCGUCGAUGGUACAGUGUUCGAAGAGAUUGAGCAGGUGGGGGAAGAGGAGGAGGGUUUUGGCUCAAUGCAGCGACUUCGCUCGAGGUGGGUCGAUUUCGUCGAGCAUUCAGGGUCUGGUGAGCUCGUGUCUGGCUUUCGAGCCCUGCGACCAGUAUUGUAGCUCCAAGGGGCUUCCUUACUCGGCCUUUUUCGGUGACAAUGCUCUCUCGUCGGUUUUCGGAUCCAAGUCUCUUCCUCUGAAUCGAAGGCAGAGGCGAACCAAUCGAGGCUCUCAUUCGGGGGAAACCAUGGCAGUGGCUGUGCAACCUGCAAAGGAGGUCACAACAAAGAAGAAACCUCUUACAGAACAGAGGCGAGUAGUUGUGACAGGGAUGGGGGUCAUGAGCCCAAUUGGUCAUGAACCAGACAGCUUCUACAACAAUCUGCUUGAGGGUGUUAGUGGCAUAAGUGAAAUAGAGAGUUUUGAUUGUUCUCAUUUUCCAACGAGAAUUGCUGGCGAGAUCAAGUCCUUCUCAACAGAUGGAUGGAUUGCACCGAAACUUUCCAAAAGGAUGGACAAGUUCAUGCUAUACAUGCUCACUGCCGGCAAGAAAGCCUUGGCGGAUGGUGGAAUUACAGAAGAUGUAACUGAUGAGUUGGAUAAAUCUAGAUGUGGAGUUUUGAUUGGCUCAGCAAUGGGUGGCAUCAAGGUUUUUAACGAUGCCAUAGAAGCUUUGAGGGUCUCAUAUAGGAAGAUGAACCCUUUCUGUGUACCUUUUGCCACUACAAAUAUGGGCUCUGCCAUGCUUGCAAUGGAUUUGGGGUGGAUGGGCCCAAAUUAUUCAAUAUCUACUGCUUGUGCUACCAGCAACUUCUGUAUAUUGAACGCAUCAAAUCAUAUCAUCAGGGGUGAAGCUGACAUGAUGCUUUGUGGUGGCUCAGAUGCGGCAAUCAUACCUAUUGGUUUGGGAGGUUUUGUUGCUUGUAGAGCACUUUCACAGAGGAACAACGAUCCUACCAAAGCUUCACGUCCUUGGGAUACUAACCGUGAUGGAUUUGUUAUGGGAGAAGGAGCUGGGGUCCUGCUUUUAGAAGAAUUAGAGCAUGCUAAGAAAAGAGGUGCAAAAAUUUAUGCAGAAUUUCUGGGUGGAAGCUUCACUUGUGAUGCCUACCACAUGACUGAGCCUCACCCUGAUGGUGCUGGUGUCAUUCUCUGCAUAGAAAGUGCCUUGGCUCGAUCCGGGGUGUCCAGAGAAGAUGUGAAUUACAUAAAUGCACAUGCUACCUCCACACUUGCUGGAGACUUUAGAGAGUACCAAGCCCUUGUUCGUUGUUUUGGCCAGAAUCCUGAGUUAAAAGUGAACUCUACAAAAUCUAUGAUUGGUCACCUGCUAGGAGCAGCUGGUGCAGUGGAGGCCAUUGCAACAAUACAGGCCAUACGGACAGGGUGGGUUCAUCCAAAUAUCAACCUUGAGAGCCCGGAGGAGGGUGUGGAUACGGAUUUGCUAGUGGGCUCAAAGAAAGAAAGACUCGACAUCAAGGUGGCAUUGUCUAAUUCAUUUGGGUUUGGCGGCCACAAUUCAUCAAUCAUAUUUGCCCCUUACAAAUAGACCUUGUGGCCUACUCUGAACUUGCUCACUUUAAUGAGGCCAAAUGUAUCUAGUUGCUGAGCACCCAGGGAACCUCCUCUGUAUCUCAUCUUUUGUUUGCCAGAAGGGAAGUUAAAAAAUUCAGUGUUAUAAGUCACUUUUUGCUUCUGUUGCUAUCAGCCAAUAUCCUUUUCCUCAUAAAAAUAGCUGUAAUAGGGUUUCUGCAUGUGAUCUAGUUGAUAUGAGCUGUUCACCCACCAGUUCUUGAGUUUGUUUGGAGUGAUUGUGAUUCUGUGAGGUCAGAACCACUUCCUCGUAAAAAUUAGGUAUUUAGUAAUUUUUUUAGAAUUAUUUUUGAAAAUCUAGAGAACGAUUCUAGGUCAAUAAUUUGAUAGGUAAUUCAUUAAGAUAAUGUUUUGUUUUUUUUUGUUUUUGGGUAUAUAAUGUAAUUUAAAAAAAAAAACUUACAAUGGUCCUCCUUAUUUGUAUUUUUGUUGGAUUUAUUUAUUAUAAUCGAGUCCCUUUUUCGAGUUUA
RNA transcript from Vitis vinifera (wine grape), 2565 nucleotides. It is a transcript of the gene named 3-oxoacyl-[acyl-carrier-protein] synthase II, chloroplastic, with no coding region annotated. The record is from RefSeq and is a predicted model, not a curated record. Lineage: Eukaryota; Viridiplantae; Streptophyta; Magnoliopsida; Vitales; Vitaceae. The transcript has 14 exons.